Molecule: RNA transcript, 4158 nt
Organism: Mugil cephalus (flathead mullet)
Lineage: Eukaryota; Metazoa; Chordata; Actinopteri; Mugiliformes; Mugilidae
Gene: rassf2b
Gene name: Ras association domain family member 2b
Exons: 12
Source: RefSeq, a predicted model, not a curated record
GGGAAUUGGCUCUCACUAGUUGGGAAUCGACUCUUCCGAUCCACUAUCAAGCAACGGCUCUUCUGCGCAUGACCCAUCACAAACAGAUGGAUACCCUCGCGCUCUCCUCCUUCUCGUUCUUCUUCUCCUAAGGCGCCGCUGCACGCGCCCCAGUGAUUGUUUUCCCCCAACGGCAGGAGAACGAGCGAGUUGUGACCGAGGAGUUAACCGUUAACGGACCGUUGACCGCCCAACGGAAAGAGGGAGGCGGAGGUUUGACGGCAGCUGAGCCCGGAGAGAAGCUCCAGAAGUCGGGAAGAAUCAGCCAGAGCGUCGGUGCGGUGCGGAGUAGGCACCUCCCUCUCUCUGGUGUCUCUGCAAGACGUCAUUACGCUCCUCUCAUGCUUACUGAGAAUGGAUGAUUCGCAGGACGGAGUUCAGAUUGGAGAGAACAAGUUCAUCAGCAAGUCAACAGUCCUCUCGCAUCUUAAAACAUACAACCUCUAUUAUGAGGGGCAGAAUCUGCAGCUACGACACAGAGAAGAAGAGGGGGAGCUGAUCGUUGAGGGCUUGCUGAAUAUCUUUUGGGGCCUGCGACGACCCAUCAGGCUUCAGAUGCAGGAUGACCACGAACGAGUCCGGCCGCCCCCCUCCUCCACGUCCUGGCACUCAGGAUGUAAUCUGGACAGUCAAGGAUCCCCCAACAGCACAGACGCUCAACAGACGACCGAGCACAGUCCACCCACAGUGGAGGUGACGCCACCUGAGUAUCAACCAGAGGACAACGGUGUGAUGGAAGAACAAGCAGAAGACGACAGCGAGAGCUCCGCUCAGCUCCUCAGGACGAAGAGUGAUGCUGGAGUUUUAAGACGAGGCCAGCGAAGGUCCCCGAGCGACCAGAGGAAGAUCAGACGCCAUCGAUUCUCCAUCAACGGACACUUCUACAACCACAAGACGGCAGUUUUCACGCCCGCUUACGGUUCGGUCACCAAUGUUCGGAUCAACAGCUGCAUGACCACACCUCAGGUGCUACGAGUUCUCCUCAACAAGUUUAAAAUUGAAAACAGCCCGGACGAUUUUGCGCUUUACCUCGUCCAUACAAGUGGAGAGCGCGUGAAACUGAAGCGGACCGACUUUCCUAUGGUGCUGAGAAUAAUGCAGGGUCCAUGUGAGCAGGUCUGCAAAGUUUUCCUCAUGGAAGAAGACCUGGGCGAAGAAGUCACAUAUGAUGUGGCGCAGUACAUAAAGUUUGAGAUGCCUGUCCUGCAGAGUUUCAUCACGAAGCUGAAGGAAGAAGAGGACAGAGAGGUGCAGAAACUCAAGAGAAGGUAUAAUUACCUGCGGUGUGUAAUUGAGAAACAGCUCAGUUGUCUUCCAGAGGGGCCGACGUGUAUGUGAUCAGCUCAUGGUGAGGAUUCCCAACACAACAAACUGUCAAAAUCAUUCCAGGGACAUUUCAACCUCCGAGCCGUGACCAAGAGUCCUCUGAUCAGAAUAUAACGUAGGACUUUCAGCAAUUAUCCUACUCCUCUGAAUUCCGUCCUUCACCAAAUCUAAUCAGCCGACCUACUGACAAAAAAAAACUUUGUCAUGUUAAAGCGUGGCCGUGUCGACUCCGGCGACCUCGCCCCAAACUUUUAAUCCUUGUCUGCUUUUCUUUCUGUUUUUUUUUUUUGUUACCACAUUACGACAUAAACCAUAUAUCGUACUGAUUUUAACCUUUUUGCAGAAUGAGCCUGAAAUGAAAAUGUCCUGUCUUCCCUCCAGAUAAUAUAUUCAGAAUCCAUUUAAAGCACAAACGUUGGGUGGUAUGGUUUUAAGUAAAGUGCCUGUUAGAAAACCCGCAAACGAUAUCAUCAAUUAUUCAGAAAAUAAUGCUGUGAGUAAAAUCAAAGCAAAUUCUGGGGAGUUUAACAUUACACAAAAAAAUAAAUAAAUAAAAGAGUUUGAUGGAUGCAAAACUGAACAGAAGACAAGCUCAUGUUCUCAAAAUAGCUGAUGCUAUUGAGUGUAUUAAUUACUGAUUAAUUAGCCGUCUUCAUUUUACUACAGCAGAUAAGUUCACUGUUGGGAUUAUUAAAGGUGAACACACCACAAAGUUUCCCAUCGCUCAUCGUAUCAUUUCAUAUUUGCCAGAUUAUUUUUCUUUCACAUCCAUCAGAGAAUAACAAAAAACGAAGCACAUGACUAAAGUGAAAUCCCACGAGACUGUGAAUUAACGCUGAUGAUCUUUUUGUGGCGAAUGUUUUAAAACGUAUGAAUGAGCCCUUCGGGGCAGAACAGUUUGCCUCCGCGUGUGCAGCACUUUUGCAAAAAGUCGACUCGAUAUUUCUGACUGUGUUGUUGAAGAUGUCGCCGCACAGUGUUCGCGUGACUUCGAGAGCGUGCAUGUUUUAUUUUUAGUGAAUCUUAAGACUUGCCUGCUUUUGUAUCGUGUCUUUUACAAAAAUAAUUUUUUGUCUUAAAAGUGUUACGAACUCAUGCCACUACUUGGAAAAUGUAGUUUGUUUGUUUUUUUUUUCUUACGAUGAUUGUUAUUUAAUAAUAAAAAAAAAAACUUGUCAUGGGAAAAGAUGUACAUACAAACCUGUAAAUCUCUGUCGUUUUUCUUCUGCUCAGUGUUACAUAAAUGAUGUUUAAAUCUUAAAAUGUGACCACACUUGGGUCAGAUUUUUCAGGAGAGAACUCAUCAACGUUCCAGCAGAUUCGCGUCAGUGCUGCGUUAAAUAACAUGGACAAAAUUAGAAAGACGAAUGUCCCCUCGCAGGUAUUUAUGUGUGAUGUCAGAAGCUUACGCUCAGCCAAGGAGCAUUAGUGGGACGGAGUGAUCCACUCUACCUGAUUCAGAUUGCCGGGAGGACAAGUGUCUGGACCUGCAACAUAUUUUCCUUCAGACCGUCUCAAGACUCUGAACUGCAAACACGCGCUGUCUGACUUUUCCUUUCAGAGGACGAACAUCAUCUCUACAUUCAUUCACAAGCAGCCACGCAACAGAUUAAAAAAUAAUGUUGGGCGUUCAGAAAGUUCCCGUCACAGUGGCCCUCAGUUUCCUUCUCCUCGCCACACUGUUGCCCAGCUCUGAGGCCCGCCGUGGAGGUGGUGGCUUCGGUCGAGGGGGAGGCAGAGGACUGGGAGGCGGAGGAGGCGGCGGCUUCAGACGUGGCUGGGGUGGGGGUCAGUCCUACAGACCGGCACCCGUCCAGAGCAGUGGACCCAGUGCAGGAAAAGUGGCCGGUGCUGCUGCUGCAGGAGCAAUAGGGGGAGCUGUGAUCGGGUCGGCCUUGAGCCGCCCUGGGUACGGAGGAUACGGAGGAUAUGGAGGAUAUGGAGGAUACGGAGGCUACGGAGGAUAUGGAGGAGGUUAUGGAGGAGGUUAUGGAGGAUAUCCACGAUAUGGAAUCGGUGGCGGUGGAGCCAGGGGCGGCUAUGAGCCAGAGGGAUCUGGAGAUAUGGAGUUUUACACCGGAGCCUCCAGUGGCCCCAUCUACAACAGCAUCAUUGUUGUCAUCGGCUCCCUGAUGUCUCUGCUCCUGGGCCACUGGGUGGCAGUCAUGUAGCACUGCACCAGCAAAAAAAAAAAAAAAAAAAAAAAAAGCCAAAAAAUAACCCACGAACUGACAGUUUUAAGUCAAGUUAGAACUCAAAUAAAUAAAAUGUCUGAAGAGAAACUUUCUAGAUGAUUUUUUUUGUUUUUUUCAACUCGUCAGUGACACUCCAUGAAGACAGGAGACAGAGUUGGACACAUCCGUCAGUCCACAGGUUCGGUGCUGAACAUGGAAACAAGACAAGAGGAAGACAGUUGUCUGAGUCAUCGGGUCAUUUGUGUCUCACUCUCCCUCUGUUUCUGCUUUUAACGUUGUGUUUUUAUAUUUGUCGUGAUGAUACCACUGAUGGGGAUGAGUCUGAUUUAGUAUGUUUUCUAGUAAAGGUAGAGCAGGAAUAGAUUAGAUGUGAUGAGCCUACCUCAAAGAAGUCACUGAGAGCAGCCAUACUCUUAAUAUAAUAAAAUAAUGCCACGUCUAACUUUAGACUCUUAUUUUGUCUGCUCUGUAUAUUAUAAAGUCUAUAUUUUAAGCAUAUUGUUUGUGUAUUUAGUUUUUUUUUUUUUAAUUUUGUAGAUUUUUACAUAAAUAUAUAAAUGAAUAUAUUGUAUAAAUAAUAAUAAAAAAACAUAAAAAC